RNAcentral lists this ribosomal RNA (890 nucleotides) under Polypedates leucomystax (Java whipping frog). RNAcentral describes it as "partial 16S ribosomal RNA". It matches the Rfam family "Bacterial large subunit ribosomal RNA", at positions 1112 to 2606 of the family's 2925-position model. Lineage: Eukaryota; Metazoa; Chordata; Amphibia; Anura; Rhacophoridae. The record is from RNAcentral.
GCAGCCACCUUUUAAAACGCGUCAAAGCGUAAUCUUAGCCCCCAAAAUACCAUUAAUUUUCAUGAACCCCUAAUCUAUAAUGAAUGACUCCAUAUUUAUAUGGAAGACACCAUGCUAGGAUUAGUAACAAGAAUUUAUAAUUCUCCAAAAUGCAAAUAUAAACCAACAUGGAUGGACCAUUGGUAGUUACCGAACCUAAAUUCAAUGCAACAACACCUACAAGAAAACUCUGCAGUACUUACUCGUUAACCUAACACCAGCGCAUUACAGGAAAGAUUUAAAAAAAGAGAAGGAAUUCGGCAAAUGACGGCCCCGCCUGUUUACCAAAAACAUCGCCUCUUGACUUAUAAUAAGAGGUCCAGCCUGCCCAGUGAAUUUUAAACGGCCGCGGUAUCCUAACCGCGCGAAGGUAGCAUAAUCACUUGUUCUUUAAAUGGGGACUCGUAUCAACGGCAUCACGAGGGUUUUACUGUCUCCUCUUUUUGAUCAGUGAAAUUGAUCUUCCCGUGAAGAAGCGGGAAUAAAUUUAUAAGACGAGAAGACCCCAUGGAGCUUUAAACCAAAUAACAACUUAACCACUUAUCCCAUAAUAAAUUUAAGCCCUGUUAUAAGGUUUUUGGUUGGGGUGACCGCGGAGUAAAACACAUCCUCCACGACGAAAAAAACAGAAUUUUUAUUUAAGAACCACACUUCUAGAAAUUAGUAUACUAACGUUUACUGACCCGACAAUCGAUCAACGGACCAAGUUACCCUGGGGAUAACAGCGCAAUCUACUUCAAGAGCUCAUAUCGACAAGUAGGCUUACGACCUCGAUGUUGGAUCAGGGUAUCCCGGUGGUGCAGCCGCUACCGAAGGUUCGUUUGUUCAACGAUUAAAACCCUACGUGAUCU